Molecule: long non-coding RNA, 824 nt
Filed under: Phasianus colchicus (ring-necked pheasant)
Lineage: Eukaryota; Metazoa; Chordata; Aves; Galliformes; Phasianidae
Description: lncRNA (ENSPCLG00000001762.1)
Source: RNAcentral
AUGGGCGCCCGGCCGCGGCUGAGGUCAGUUCCGCUGCCUGGCGCUGCGCUCCGCCGAGGCUGCGGCGGCGACGGGGGGCGCGGGUGCGCCCUCGCUGGGGACAGUCUCGCAAAAACAAUAGAAGGUGCUGUUUGUGGACUGAAAGUGUUUUCUACUAACCAAGAUAAAAAGAAUGAUUAUGGCAAGAUAAAUGGAGACAAGUGAGGAGGGAGAGCAAUGUGAGACAUCACCUCUGUAGCAGAAGAGUCUUGAAGGGUGUAUCCUGUGAGUUUUCCUGACACAUGGCAUGGGGCCAGCUUCUUCUUUCCACAUUAACCUCUUCCUGCUGGAGUGCUAUGUGAGUGAGGAUGACAAACAGUUCAUUCUAACAGAAUUUGUUGUAGGAAGUUUACUUCCUGUAGUUUAGUACAUAAUAUAGUGCAUAUAUACCAGAAUGGCAAACUUUGUUCGACCUCAAACCUUGAAUCUUGUAUAUGGGUAUAAAUAAGCAACUUAAGCAUUGGGUAACUUUGCCACCUUUUAUUUAAUUAUCCUUUUUUUUCCUUGGUCUUUUCUGCUCUUUGCCAUACGAUUCAGACCUAUUUUUUCCCAUUCCAUUCUGUCCUCUUCCAUGUUUACAGUAAAGGUUUCUUUUCUGUACACUAACUUUCAUCCCAGAUACUUUUAGUCUCCCGAGGUUUCUGCUUUUCACUCCUGAACCUUCCCUUCUCGGAGUCUCACAAGAUCUUCCCAUCAUUCAUCUUAUUUGUAACCUUGAGGUUCACCUAACCCCCCCACCCCAGUGUAUGUUUAUAAAUAAAACAGUGCUGAGACAAAUAUGUACA